Phrynosoma platyrhinos (Desert horned lizard) is the source of this 72-nucleotide non-coding RNA. Lineage: Eukaryota; Metazoa; Chordata; Lepidosauria; Squamata; Phrynosomatidae. The record is from the annotation of a GenBank genome assembly.
GCCAGCAUGGCAUAGUGAUUUGAGUGCUGGAUUAUGACUCUAGAGGCCAAGGUUCAAUUCCCCGCUCGGCCA